This is a long non-coding RNA of Mirounga angustirostris (Northern elephant seal), 777 nucleotides long. RefSeq lists it as uncharacterized. Lineage: Eukaryota; Metazoa; Chordata; Mammalia; Carnivora; Phocidae. The transcript is spliced from 3 exons. The record is from RefSeq and is a predicted model, not a curated record.
AGCGGGAGCUUCGUCCUGGGGAGAGCUCCGCCGCUCCGGGUAUUGCGGGUUUUGUGUGACAAUGGGUCUACCGGCUGGUGGGAUUCGUGUGUCGCCGGCCUCGCUGGGCCGAGUUCGUGACGUCAUAAAACAUGAAGGUAGCUGAAUCCAGGGCAGAACUAACAUUUGCUCAAGAUUGGGUCCCAAAAAGGUUAUCGAUCAUGACUGUAUUUUCUGUGACACUGAGUCCUUGGUCAGCCCUCAAUUACAACAUUGGCACCAGAGGAGAAAAUAUUCCAUUUUAUGGAAGAUGGGAUUUCUAAGAACAUGAUGUGGCGAGAAGCGAGACUGACUAUAAAAUCUAGAAACGUGUAUUUAUGGCUACAAAUUGAUAACAGGAAACAUCUUAGGAAGAAGGAGACUGGCAGAUUGUAGGAUGGAUCAUCAGCAGAGGCUUUCCAGAGAAAAUCGACCUCAAUCUGUUCUCUGAAGAGCAGGGAAUAGAGUGAAGAUGAGAAAACAUGCUGUCGGUGAUUACAGUCAUUGUUACAGAACAUCUGUCCGACAGAAAGUGUCUUAUUGCUUCGGUCAAGUCACUCUCUUCUGCCUACUCAGUUACUCACCCCAGGUAACAAAACACUUAGGGCAUAGAAAUGGGCAUGUAAAUGUGUUUGUUUUCCUUUGUAAUGUAAUAAAUCUGACUGCUUGUUGACCAUGACCCAGGCACCAUCCUGGGUCUCAGGGAUUAUAAAUAUGGUUGUAACUUGGUCUUUGUUUUCCUAAAGGCUCCCAAUCUGG